This is a long non-coding RNA of Syzygium oleosum, 2403 nucleotides long. RefSeq lists it as uncharacterized. The record is from RefSeq and is a predicted model, not a curated record. The transcript has 2 exons. Lineage: Eukaryota; Viridiplantae; Streptophyta; Magnoliopsida; Myrtales; Myrtaceae.
UUGGCCGGAUAGAUUGAGUUGGUAAAAAUACAAAAGGUCUAGUGUGACAUCCUGAACCUCUAUAUGAUCAGAGGAGAGGAAGGAAGGGAUCCUAAAUGAUUAGGGCAUUCGUCGACGGAUAAUUUGGAAACCGUCACCAUUAUCGUCUAUGAAGAAGUGUGCCGUGUUUCUUGGUUCCAAUCGCCGCUGCGCCGACUGCUUCCGAUGUCGCGUCAUCACGCGACCCGACCUUUCUACCGCUCCGCACUCACGUUAAUUUUCCUUCCCUUUUCCCGCCGCCAUGCCGUCGGGAACACCACCGUCACUGCCCCUGCCCCCUUUUUCCUUCUUACCGGAUCAUCACUGCCCCCCUUUUCUCUUCCCUUUUCUUCUUUUUUUCUCUUUUUCUUCUUUCCCCUCCACCACUUGGCGGAGGAGAAGCGCCAUGUGGCGCCUGUCUUCUCCACCGCACCAUCCGGCCAUUGGCCAUGCAUGCAAAGGAAGGGGAAGAGUCAUUCCACUCUCUUUCCUUCCUCUCAUUUCCCCCUCUCUUCUGCCAACUCUCUUCCUCGCCGGCUCUCUCUCUCUCACUUUCUCUCUCUUCUCUCUCUCUCUCUACUCAGAACUCACCAGCCGCCGACCCAGUUGACCAGCAGCUGCUCAACUCAUCUGCUGCAACCGUCCGUCCACACGACGCCGCUCCCUCCGUCAUCCCGUCUCCUCACGUCAGCGGCAGCAACCACCGCGAGCCGGAAACCGCCGCACCGUGCUCUCUCUCCCAACCAAGACCCGCACGCCGUGCCGCCACACUCGUCGUCGAGGCAAGUGUGCUCUCUCACUCCAUACUAACCAUUUUAGUGUUUGUAUGUUGAGUUUGGGUCUUGGACUAGACAAUGUGGUGGCUUGAUGUUGUGGGGGAGAAUGGUUUGAUUGUGUAUUUGCCCAAGUAUGUUGGUUUAGACCUUUUGCAAUGAGUUUUGUGCGUAUAGGUUGCUGAACCAGGUUGGAAAUGGAUGUUGCACGUUGGUUUGGACUUCUGGUUUUGAGUUUCCUGGAUGAGAAUUCGUGGAUUUCAAGUUAGAGUCGUUUUCUUGAACUUCGGCUUUGUUUUCCAGAACACUGCUGGACUUUUACGGUUUUCCAUUUUUAUAGAGCUUUUUGUGAUAUGAAUACUGAAAACUUUCUUCAUAAAAGUUGUUCAGAAAAUCUUGGAAUAUAACAUACUUUAAAUUAAGAUUUUUCUGAGUUCAAAUGGAUUGCACGAAGCCCCUAUUUCUUACCGUAUUAAAUCUGUUCAGUACAGUAAAAUCAGUGACCUUUUUGUCUUCUCGAAUUUUUAUAAAAAUUUUCAGUUCGAAAUUGGACAUAUUUCCUUUACGAAAGUUGUUAAAGAAAUCCAUGUCUACAACGUAUAAAAAUUUCGAAGUAUUUUGAGAAGAUUUGAUUUGCGAAACAAGUAUUUCUUUUGGUUUAAUCAUUCUGCUCUAGCGGGCCAGUUUUGGUUAGAUUUUAAGUGGCUCAUUCUCAGGUAUACAAAAUGAUCUGGGUUUUACACUAUUCAUGAAAAAUGUCACUUAAGGUUUUUUAUAUGACAUAUUCAAAUUUCAUAAUUUUUCGAGAUCAUUUACUAUAUUAUUGGUCUUGAUUUCUCAAAAUGCUCAAAAUUGCCUUAUUUUACCUAUUGUUAGAAAAUCUCGAAUUUUUAUUGGAAGAUGAUGGAUUCUUAAUUUCUUGUCUACUAGAGAUAGUAACCACACUCAAUUAGCUUUCCAAUGAGGCAUUAAUGGUCAUGAUAUGAUGAGGCAAAGUUGAUACUCAUGAAUUUGUGUGGAGUCCAAGGGGUACACGUGCCGCGAAGAGCCGAAGGGAAAGCGGGAUGGCGUGUCCGGUGGACUACGAUGCCUAGGAGGUACCCUGCCCUAGAUGCCCUGGGAGUUUGAUCGGGAUGCCAUGGUUAGUGGACUACGAAGCCCAUGCAGGUCGAUGAGAAUUCUGGCGUAUACUACGGCAGACCGGAGGGUGCACCGGACCUUGCUAGACGGGAUGUUCGUCCAUGCGUGGCCGGCGAGUGCACCGAACUUGUGCCUUGGAGUGGAGAUUAAAGUUUGAUUAAUGUCAUGUAACACAUGCGAUGUGUGCUCGUGUGAUUAUAUGUUGUAGCGAUCUAACCUCCCGCGGUGCACCAUCUAGGGGUUUGGCUAAUGGAUUAUUAAGUCUAAGCCUAACUCCGGCCCUCCCAAGCCCUAUCAAUUCGUGACUUAAGGUUUAAGUUCUUAACAUGCAAAUUAUUUCAAUCAGGAGUCGCCACUAAUCUAUUUUUUGGUGAGACGAUUAUAAACCCAAGUAAAUUAUCGGGAGAAUUACUUUACUCCUACGAACCAGAGAUUAUGGAUUCGGGGACUUGGUUACACUAGAUUACUCUAA